Molecule: ribosomal RNA, 456 nt
Filed under: uncultured bacterium
Lineage: Bacteria
Description: bacterial SSU rRNA
Rfam family: Bacterial small subunit ribosomal RNA
Source: RNAcentral
AGACGAGUUUGAUCCUGGCUCAGAACGAACGCUGGCGGCAUGCCCUAACACAUGCAAGUCGAACGAGACCUUCGGGUCUAGUGGCGCACGGGUGCGUAACGCGUGGGAAUCUGCCCUUCGGUUCGGAAUAACUCAGGGAAACUUGAGCUAAUACCGGAUAAUGACGUAAGUCCAAAGAUUUAUCGCCGAAGGAUGAGCCCGCGUAGGAUUAGCUUGUUGGUGGGGUAAUGGCCCACCAAGGCGACGAUCCUUAGCUGGUCUGAGAGGAUGAUCAGCCACACUGGGACUGAGACACGGCCCAGACUCCUACGGGAGGCAGCAGUGGGGAAUAUUGGACAAUGGGCGAAAGCCUGAUCCAGCAAUGCCGCGUGAGUGAUGAAGGCCUUAGGGUUGUAAAGCUCUUUACCCGGGAUGAUAAUGACAGUACCGGGAGAAUAAGCUCCGGCUAACUCCGUG